GUGCUUGCUUUGGCAGCACAUAUACUAAAAUUGGAAUGAUACUGAGAAGAUUAGCAUGGUCCCUGCCCAAGGAUGACAUGCAAAUUUGUGAAGCAUUCCAUAUUAAA
RNAcentral lists this small nuclear RNA (107 nucleotides) under Myotis davidii. Lineage: Eukaryota; Metazoa; Chordata; Mammalia; Chiroptera; Vespertilionidae. The record is from RNAcentral.